ACUCCUGCGGGAGGCAGCAGGGGGGAAUAUUCCACAAGGGGGGAAACCAUGAAGCAACGACCGCCGCCAGGAAGAAGAAGUUUUCGGUAUGUAAAGCUCUAUCAGCAAGGAAGAUAAUGACG
Molecule: ribosomal RNA, 122 nt
Filed under: uncultured Clostridium sp.
Lineage: Bacteria; Bacillati; Bacillota; Clostridia; Eubacteriales; Clostridiaceae
Description: partial 16S ribosomal RNA
Source: RNAcentral